GGCCACGGCUGGAGGGGCGGGCUGGGGCGGGACCGUAACGCCCGCGGGGCCGGAGCUCCUCAGACGCUUCGUAAGACGCGCCUGCUUAUAGGCUGCGACGGAGGUAGGCGUCUCGGACUUGAAGACGGCCUCGACAGCAGAGCUCUCUCAUUGGUCGGUAAGAGAAAACAAAGCAGAGGUCUGAUUGGUGAGAGCUCUGUAGCUCCUCUCCCUCUCCCCUCAAUCAUCGGCAGCUCCGCCCCUACCCGCUCGGUUCCCAGGUGGCUGCCGAAUACGUUGUCUUACAGACCUGCAGUCUCCGAAGCGAAGAAACCCGGAUACCCAGGUUUCUUUGCCAGAGUCACCAAAGAAGUGGACAUUCAUUCACCAGGCCAGCCUAUCAGGCAUAGAUCUAGUAAGAACCUACUAUUUUGCAGGGAUAGGCUAGUUGUGGGGGUAUAAUAUUGAGUAUGAUACCAACCCAGGUGGAUCUAGAGACAAAUUGUUACUGCACAAGUGGUUAGGAAAUCAAGGGUGCUAUGGGAACAGAAUCCAGAAAGGGCCAAGGAGAUCAUCCUGAAAGAAAUGAGGGAUCACUGAAUCAGUAGGGCGUCAUCCCAGUGAAAGGCUACAGGUUCUAGAUCCAGGGAGCCACAACAAAGGAACAUUGGGCCACAGUCCAGAAGAAGGAAAUCUAAGGCAAAGCCUUAGAAAAGCAUUGCAGAAAAAAUCAACUUUCCCCACAUCGCAAGUUUGCCUAGCAUGGAUGAGCCCAGAAUGUGGAAACAAAAAUCCAAUUAGGAGCAGCAUUCUGAAAGCAUAAGAGCUGAGCAAAGCAUGAGAAGAAACAGACUGUUGUUUCACAUUAUCUCCUUCGUUUCUUCAAUACAAGUCAUUAAAAAUUGCACACACACCCUUAUAACUAUGACAUUCCUUUUAGGAUAGUAAUGAGUUAACAGUAUUAAUCCUAUUUGGCCAGAAUUAGGACAGAGCUGAAGCCCUCGGAGUUAGAGAUCUGUUCUACCAGUUCUGGCCUUUCUCGUGCUUCUGACCAUGGCUUUCUCUUUACUGGUUGAACUCACACCAUUACCAGAUAUCUGUAAGAAAA
Herpailurus yagouaroundi (jaguarundi) is the source of this 1087-nucleotide long non-coding RNA. RefSeq lists it as uncharacterized. The record is from RefSeq and is a predicted model, not a curated record. Lineage: Eukaryota; Metazoa; Chordata; Mammalia; Carnivora; Felidae. The transcript has 2 exons.